RNAcentral lists this ribosomal RNA (464 nucleotides) under uncultured bacterium. RNAcentral describes it as "bacterial SSU rRNA". It matches the Rfam family "Bacterial small subunit ribosomal RNA", at positions 355 to 835 of the family's 1533-position model. The record is from RNAcentral.
UGGGGAAUCUUGGACAAUGGGGGCAACCCUGAUCCAGCCAUGCCGCGUGAGUGAUGAAGGCCUUAGGGUCGUAAAGCUCUUUCGCCUGUGAAGAUAAUGACGGUAGCAGGUAAAGAAACCCCGGCUAACUCCGUGCCAGCAGCCGCGGUAAUACGGAGGGGGUUAGCGUUGUUCGGAAUUACUGGGCGUAAAGCGCACGUAGGCGGACCAGAAAGUUGGGGGUGAAAUCCCGGGGGCUCAACCCCGGAACUGCCUCCAAAACUAUUGGUCUAGAGUUCGAGAGAGGUGAGUGGAAUUCCAAGUGUAGAGGUGAAAUUCGUAGAUAUUCGGAGGAACACCAGUGGCGAAGGCGGCUCACUGGCUCGAUACUGACGCUGAGGUGCGAAAGUGUGGGGAGCAAACAGGAUUAGAUACCCUGGUAGUCCACACCGUAAACGAUGAAUGCCAGUCGUCGGGUAGCAUGC